CAAGGUUGUUGUGAAGCCGAUUUCAGGAUUUGUUCGUACUGUUUGUUCCCAGUUGUUGUGACAAGUUUGGAACAAAUUGUUAUCACCUUGUUACAAGGUUGAUGUUACAAGGCUACAAGUUAUUCCAACAAAGACUAAUAUAGGCUGAGCUUGUUGUCAUUAACUUGUUAACAACUUGUGACGUGCAGAGGAUAUCAGACUUGUUGGAACAGCUGUUGCUAGUCUGUUGGCUUCAGCAUCAACCUUGUUACAAGAUGAUCCCAACUUGUUCAAUACUUGUCAACAACUGGGAACAAGCAAUGCGAACACUUAUCUGUCUGUCUAUCUUGUUGACAAGCUGAGAGAUUUUACUCGUACGUGUAGGUAUUGCAUGGAACUAAGCUAACCAAGCAUUUAAAUUAUAGAUGCAAGUGAAUUGGGUGGCAACGUUUAUAAACACGUAUUAAUUAGUGGAGACCUCUACACAGAUAUGUAUGGCGGGUGAUGUGUGUCAAAAUUCAAUAACACAUUUGGCAAUGAUAACGUAACAUUUUGCUACAAUAAUAACACAUUUGGCAACGAUAAAGUAACCUUUUGCUACAAUUUUGUGGCGGUUACAAGACAUUUAUUAACAAUAACAAAACAUUCAAUGACAAAGUAUUAUUUUGCAACAACAUAAACGUAUCGUUUUAAUAUUUGCCAACAAUCGUACAUUUGGCAAGUACAAUCCCGUGAUGCAGUUGGGCACUAGCUCCGAUGGCGCGAAAACGGUGCAUAAAUGGCGCGUAAUUAUUUUCACACAAAAUGGCGAUCAAGAUAUCGAAGAAAACGGAGUACGAACUGCUCUUAUAACGCGUUAUUGACUGAUGUAACGGAAUGCCUUUCAACAGAGCUUGAUGAUGUUAUUGAUCGUAUUCGCGAUUUUUCUGAAGACCUUUAUCGAU
Molecule: non-coding RNA, 923 nt
Organism: Paramuricea clavata
Lineage: Eukaryota; Metazoa; Cnidaria; Anthozoa; Malacalcyonacea; Plexauridae
Source: the annotation of a GenBank genome assembly